This 310-nucleotide unclassified non-coding RNA is filed under the name Hevea brasiliensis (rubber tree). Lineage: Eukaryota; Viridiplantae; Streptophyta; Magnoliopsida; Malpighiales; Euphorbiaceae. The record is from RNAcentral.
AUAGCAUUACCCAGACAUAUUGAUAUAUUUUGUGGCCUCGGACAAACAGAUGCAAAGAAUCAUAGUACAAAGAAUGCGUGAAAGGAGGGCCACUUAACUUCACAGGCCUGCUGAAACCAAUCCAUGCAAUGUGAUGAUCCCGAUCACAACAUUCUGAUUCUCAACAACAGGCAAGAACUGGACAGCAGAAGGUGGUGACUCCAUUUUCUUCAUCGCCUCCACUGCCAUUGCCCCCGGGCUGAUUGUUCUCGGAUUCCUGUUACACAUUUCCCCCACGGUGAGCUUGAAGAUGCCUUCACCAUAGGCCUUG